GAACUGAAGAGUUUGAUCAUGGCUCAGAUUGAACGCUGGCGGCAGGCCUAACACAUGCAAGUCGAGCGGAUGAGUGGAGCUUGCUCCAUGAUUCAGCGGCGGACGGGUGAGUAAUGCCUAGGAAUCUGCCUGGUAGUGGGGGACAACGUUUCGAAAGGAACGCUAAUACCGCAUACGUCCUACGGGAGAAAGUGGGGGAUCUUCGGACCUCACGCUAUCAGAUGAGCCUAGGUCGGAUUAGCUAGUUGGUGAGGUAAAGGCUCACCAAGGCGACGAUCCGUAACUGGUCUGAGAGGAUGAUCAGUCACACUGGAACUGAGACACGGUCCAGACUC
Molecule: ribosomal RNA, 335 nt
Filed under: Stutzerimonas stutzeri
Lineage: Bacteria; Pseudomonadati; Pseudomonadota; Gammaproteobacteria; Pseudomonadales; Pseudomonadaceae
Description: bacterial SSU rRNA
Rfam family: Bacterial small subunit ribosomal RNA
Source: RNAcentral